AUGAAGGAUCUAGGAGUAGCUGAUGUUAUCUUAAACAUCAAGCUGUUGAGAGAUGAGAAUGGUGGGAUCACACUGCUUCAGUCUCAUUAUGUGGAAAAGGUCUUGAGUCGUUUUGGGUAUAGCGACUGCACGCCUUCUCCAACUCCAUAUGAUGCUAGUGUGUUGCUUCGAAAGAAUCGACGGAUUGCUAGAGAUCAACUGAGGUAUUCUCAGAUUAUUGGCUCGCUUAUGUAUUUGGCGAGUGCCACGAGACCUGACAUCUCUUUUGCUGUGAGCAAGCUGAGUCGGUUUGUGUCAAAACCGGGAGAUGAUCAUUGGCAUGCGCUUGAGAGAGUUAUGCGCUAUUUGAAAGGCACCGCUAGCUAUGGGAUUCACUACACCGGGUAUCCAAGGGUACUGGAGGGUUAUAGUGACUCAAACUGGAUAUCUGAUGCUGAUGAGAUUAAGGCCACAAGUGGUUAUGUUUUUACACUUGGUGGUGGCGCUGUUUCCUGGAAGUCUUGCAAGCAGACCAUCUUAACGAGGUCAACUAUGGAAGCAGAACUCACAGCAUUAGACACUGCCACUGUUGAAGCAGAGUGGCUUCGUGAACUCUUGAUGGACUUACCUAUGGUUGAAAAACCAAUACCCCCUAUCCUGAUGAACUGUGAUAAUCAAACUGUGAUCGUCAAGAUAAACAGUUCUAAGGACAAUAUGAAGUCCUCAAGGCAUGUGAAGAGGAGACUAAAAUCUGUCAGAAAAUUGAGGAACUCCGGAGUUAUUACGUUGAAUUAUAUCCAAACGUCGAAAAACUUGGCAGAUCCCUUCACAAAGGGUCUAUCACGUAAUGUGGUAGAUAAUGCAUCGAUGGAGAUGGGUUUGAGACCCACCGCAUGA
This 876-nucleotide ribosomal RNA is filed under the name Triticum aestivum (bread wheat). Its description in RNAcentral is "partial small subunit ribosomal RNA". Lineage: Eukaryota; Viridiplantae; Streptophyta; Magnoliopsida; Poales; Poaceae. The record is from RNAcentral.